RNAcentral lists this ribosomal RNA (442 nucleotides) under uncultured bacterium. RNAcentral's name for it is "partial 16S ribosomal RNA". It matches the Rfam family "Bacterial small subunit ribosomal RNA", at positions 338 to 795 of the family's 1533-position model. The record is from RNAcentral.
CCUACGGGCGGCAGCAGUGGGGGAUAUUGCACAAUGGGGGCAACCCUGAUGCAGCGACGCCGCGUGGGCGAAGAAGUAUUUCGGUAUGUAAAGCCCUAUCAGCAGGGAAGAAGAAAUGGCGGUACCUGAGUCAGAAGCACCGGCCAAAUACGUGCCAGCAGCCGCGGUACUACGUAUGGUGCAAGCGUUAUCCGGAUUUACUGGGGGUAAAGGGAGCGCAGGCGGCACGGCAAGCCUGUAGUGAAAGCCCGCGGCCCAACCGCGGGACCGCAGUGGGAACUACCGGGCUGGAGUGCCGGAGAGGUAGGCGGAAUUCCUAGUGUAGCGGUGAAAUGCGUAGAUAUUAGGAGGAACACCAGUGGCGAAGGCGGGCUACUGGACGGUGACUGACGCUGAGGCUCGAAAGCGUGGGGAGCAAACAGGAUUAGAUACCCGGGUAGUC